UACGGAGGGGGCUAGCGUUGUUCGGAAUUAUUGGGCGUAAAGAGCUCGUAGGCGGUUUGUCGCGUCUGCCGUGAAAGUCCGGGGCUCAACUCCGGAUCUGCGGUGGGUACGGGCAGACUAGAGUGAUGUAGGGGAGACUGGAAUUCCUGGUGUAGCGGUGAAAUGCGCAGAUAUCAGGAGGAACACCGAUGGCGAAGGCAGGUCUCUGGGCAUUAACUGACGCUGAGGAGCGAAAGCAUGGGGAGCGAACAGG
This 253-nucleotide ribosomal RNA is filed under the name uncultured bacterium. Its description in RNAcentral is "partial 16S ribosomal RNA". It matches the Rfam family "Bacterial small subunit ribosomal RNA", at positions 524 to 776 of the family's 1533-position model. The record is from RNAcentral.